GUAGGUGAACCUGCGGAAGGAUCAUUAAUUAUCGGUAGUUUACUACCGUUUGAAGGGGGUGGAAAGCUUCCAGGUCUUCCUGGGGGCGAGUACAUCCUAUUCUUAACCCUUGACUUUUUGCGCACUCAUGUUUCCUCGGCAGGCUUGCCUGCCGAAUGGACAAAUCAAUAACCUAUUUAAUAUUUAAUCAGCGUCUGAAUUAUUUUAAUAAUUACAACUUUCAACAACGGAUCUCUUGGUUCUG
RNAcentral lists this unclassified non-coding RNA (244 nucleotides) under rhizosphere metagenome. RNAcentral describes it as "partial ribosomal RNA internal transcribed spacer region". The record is from RNAcentral.